This 676-nucleotide long non-coding RNA is filed under the name Equus caballus (horse). RNAcentral's name for it is "lncRNA (ENSECAG00000044008.1)". Lineage: Eukaryota; Metazoa; Chordata; Mammalia; Perissodactyla; Equidae. The record is from RNAcentral.
GCUUUUGGCCUGUGUUUUAUAUAAUGGUAUAUUAAACAUAUUUGUUUCCAUUUCGCUUUUGUAGCUCAGCAGGACCCACUGGAACUGUUCUGACUGAGCUUCAACUCUCUCCUUAAUGACGUUAUCCGAGUCUGUGGUGUGGACUGUGGCAUAUGUAUUCAAUGCCUCUUUUAAUGACAGACGUUUACACUAUUUCCAGUUCUUUUCUCCUAGUGCAGUGUCGCCAUAAACAACAUUGUACACGUAUCUUCACCUCCUGGGAAUUGUACUCCUGUGUGAUAUAUUCCUGGGAGUUGUCAUGGAUAGAAAGGUUACACAGAAGUCAGCAAUGAAGGUUUAACUGAAAGCAAGUUUCGUGGCACUGACUUAUUAAAAGUAAGAAAUGGAUCUUCUCAGUCAAUUGGAAUCAAUUCGAAUCGGUUUUUGAAGAAAUGAAAUUCCUGGGAUAUUAUCAAUGAUACACCCAGAAAGAUGUAUCCAGCGUACAUUGUCUUCAAUUUUUAUAACAUUGCUGUGAUUCCUGUCUUGUCCUAAUGAUUCAAAGAAUGAGUUUGUUCUAGCUUUAUACAAAUGAAUUCUGCGUUCCGCUCAUGAUGAAACAGAGAGCAAAAGUGAUCCGAAUGUAUUACUAAAGUACUUUAUAUCUGCAAAUUACCUUAUACUUGUUAUUCUUGGC